GACGAACGCUGGCGGCGUGCUUAACACAUGCAAGUCGAACGGAAAGGCCCUGCUUUUGUGUGGUGCUCGAGUGGCGAACGGGUGAGUAACACGUGAGUAACCUGCCCUUGACUUUGGGAUAACUUCAGGAAACUGGGGCUAAUACCGGAUAGGAGCUCCUGCUGCAUGGUGGGGGUCGGAAAGUUUCGGCGGUUGGGGAUGGACUCGCGGCUUAUCAGCUUGUUGGUGGGGUAGUGGCUUACCAAGGCUUUGACGGGUAGCCGGCCUGAGAGGGUGACCGGCCACAUUGGGACUAAAAUAAGACCCAGACUACUACGGGAGGCAGCAAUGGGGAAUAUUGCACGAUGGGCGGAGGCCUGAUGCAGCAACGCCGCGUGCGGGAUGACGGCCUUCGGGUUGUGAACCGCUUUCACCUGUGACAAAGCGUGAGUGACGGUAAUGGGUAAAGAAGCACCGGCUAACUACGUG
This 468-nucleotide ribosomal RNA is filed under the name uncultured bacterium. RNAcentral describes it as "partial 16S ribosomal RNA". It matches the Rfam family "Bacterial small subunit ribosomal RNA", at positions 28 to 507 of the family's 1533-position model. The record is from RNAcentral.